AGUAACACGUGGGUAACCUGCCUUAUGGAGGGGGAUAACAGAGAGAAAUCACUGCUAAUACCGCAUAAGCACACAGUACCGCAUGGUACAGGGUGAAAAGAUUUAUCGCCAUAAGAUGGACCCGCGUCUGAUUAGCCAGUUGGCAGGGUAAAAGCCUACCAAAGCAACGAUCAGUAGCCGAUCUGAGAGGAUGACCGGCCACAUUGGGACUGAGACACGGCCCAA
This 225-nucleotide ribosomal RNA is filed under the name uncultured bacterium. Its description in RNAcentral is "partial 16S ribosomal RNA". It matches the Rfam family "Bacterial small subunit ribosomal RNA", at positions 109 to 334 of the family's 1533-position model. The record is from RNAcentral.